UUGGUUCAUAGUAUUUUGGAUAAGUUAAGAAGUCUGCUGAACCAAAGUCUGAGACUCGAGUCGACUCCCGAGUAUCACGAGUCGACUCCAAGCGUAUCAAGUUCACUGGCACGAGCUCGAGUCGACUCCAGAUCAGUACGAGUCGACUCCGACUGAGAAUAGACAGAAGGACAGAAAGCUUCAACUCAGAAACUGUCAACGAGUCGACUCCCGAAGUGCGCGAGUCGACUCCAAUGUUCAAUGAGUCGACUCCAGGGUAGUAAGAGUCGACUCCAAGAGAAACACAAAGAAAAGUCAGAGAGCAGUUUUCGGGUCUGAGAUUCGAGUCGAC
RNAcentral lists this long non-coding RNA (331 nucleotides) under Phoenix dactylifera (date palm). RNAcentral's name for it is "long non-coding RNA (PDAC_LNC019648)". The record is from RNAcentral. Lineage: Eukaryota; Viridiplantae; Streptophyta; Magnoliopsida; Arecales; Arecaceae.